AACGAACGCUGACGGCGCGCCUAACACAUGCAAGUCGAACGAGAAGGCGUAGCAAUACGCUUGUAGAGUGGCGAACGGGUGAGUAAUACGUGGGUGACCUACCCUCGAGUGGGGAAUAACCCGCCGAAAGGCGGGCUAAUGCCGCGUACGCUUCCGUCCUCACGGGGACGGAAGGAAAGCUGUACCGUGGGUACGGCGCUCAAGGAUGGGCUCACGUCCUAUCAGCUUGUUGGUAGGGUAACGGCCACCAAGGCUACGACGGGUAGCUGGUCUGAGAGGACGAUCAGCCACACUGGCACUGCGACUCGGGCCAGACUCCUACGGGAGGCAGCAGUGAGGAAUAUUGCGCAAUGGGCGAAAGCCUGACGCAGCGACGCCGCGUGGGGAUGAAGGUCUUCGGAUU
RNAcentral lists this ribosomal RNA (403 nucleotides) under uncultured bacterium. Its description in RNAcentral is "bacterial SSU rRNA". It matches the Rfam family "Bacterial small subunit ribosomal RNA", at positions 29 to 424 of the family's 1533-position model. The record is from RNAcentral.